RNAcentral lists this transfer RNA (84 nucleotides) under Lachnospira pectinoschiza. RNAcentral's name for it is "tRNA-Leu". It matches the Rfam family "tRNA". Rfam says of the family: Transfer RNA (tRNA) molecules are approximately 80 nucleotides in length. Their secondary structure includes four short double-helical elements and three loops (D, anti-codon, and T loops). Further hydrogen bonds mediate the characteristic L-shaped molecular structure. tRNAs have two regions of fundamental functional importance: the anti-codon, which is responsible for specific mRNA codon recognition, and the 3' end, to which the tRNAs corresponding amino acid is attached (by aminoacyl-tRNA synthetases). tRNAs cope with the degeneracy of the genetic code in two manners: having more than one tRNA (with a specific anti-codon) for a particular amino acid; and 'wobble' base-pairing, i.e. permitting non-standard base-pairing at the 3rd anti-codon position. Lineage: Bacteria; Bacillati; Bacillota; Clostridia; Lachnospirales; Lachnospiraceae. RNAcentral also lists the same sequence under 4 other names. The record is from RNAcentral.
GCCGAUGUGGCGGAAUUGGCAGACGCAGCAGACUCAAAAUCUGCCGGUGGCAACAUCGUAUGGGUUCGAGUCCCAUCAUCGGCA